AGUGGGAUAGCUGGGUCAAAUGGUGGUUCCAUUCCAAGUUUUCUGAGGAAUCUCUACACUACUUUCCAAAGUGGUUGUACCAAUUUGCAGUCUCCCCAGAAAU
This 103-nucleotide microRNA precursor is filed under the name Marmota monax (woodchuck). The record is from RNAcentral. Lineage: Eukaryota; Metazoa; Chordata; Mammalia; Rodentia; Sciuridae.